RNAcentral lists this transfer RNA (64 nucleotides) under Trox sp. BMNH 678430. Its description in RNAcentral is "tRNA-Leu". Lineage: Eukaryota; Metazoa; Arthropoda; Insecta; Coleoptera; Trogidae. The record is from RNAcentral.
GCAGAUUAGUGCGUUAAAUUUAGAAUUUAUUUAUGUAUUUUUUAUACAAAUAAUAAUUUAUUUA